Long non-coding RNA from Maylandia zebra (zebra mbuna), 460 nucleotides. RefSeq lists it as uncharacterized. Lineage: Eukaryota; Metazoa; Chordata; Actinopteri; Cichliformes; Cichlidae. The record is from RefSeq and is a predicted model, not a curated record.
CACACCCCUGCAACUGUGUGAGCUGCUGUGGGCUGAAGGAGUCCAACCAUGAAUCCAGCCCCAACAUAUUGCAGCACCACCUGCAAACUUCUGUUAUUAUUACACGAUCAGACCAGGCGCUUCGACAUAUUCAACAAGCAUGUUUUUUGUCCCACACAGAAAUGAAAUCCAGCAGCAGAGCAACGAGCAGACUCACGUUAUCAGAUUGGCUCGGGCUCGACACUAAACGUCUCUGCUAAGAAUACUAAAGUCUCCAUUAUAUUCAGCAGCUCGUCUCUGUCUGUCAGUUGUUUGCUGCAUGUGGCUUUUUAUAGACGUUUCUCCAUAAAACACCGCCAAGAGUGAGGCAGAGCUGUACAGUUGUAGCUGGACAGCUGAACAAAGGGAUGACUCGCUGUAAAGAGCAGAGCUGCAGAAUCAGCUCAUAAUUGUCUGCAGCUUUGCUACUAUAACAAUUAAA